UACAGAGGGGGCAAGCGUUGUUCGGAAUUACUGGGCGUAAAGGGCGCGUAGGCGGCCCGCUAAGUCGAACGUGAAAUCCCUGGGCUCAACCCAGGAACUGCGUCCGAUAAUGGCAGGCUUGAAUCCGGGAGAGGUAUGCGGAAUUCCAGGUGUAGCGGUGAAAUGCGUAGAUAUCUGGAGGAACACCGGUGGCGAAGGCGGCGCUCUGGGCCGGAACUGACGCUGAGGAGCGAAAGCGUGGGUAGCGAACAGG
Molecule: ribosomal RNA, 253 nt
Filed under: uncultured bacterium
Lineage: Bacteria
Description: partial 16S ribosomal RNA
Rfam family: Bacterial small subunit ribosomal RNA
Source: RNAcentral